CAUAACGUCGCAAGACCAAAGAGGGGGACCUUCGGGCCUCUUGCCAUCGGAUGUGCCCAGAUGGGAUUAGCUAGUAGGUGGGGUAACGGCUCACCUAGGCGACGAUCCCUAGCUGGUCUGAGAGGAUGACCAGCCACACUGGAACUGAGACACGGUCCAGACUCCUACGGGAGGCAGCAGUGGGGAAUAUUGCACAAUGGGCGCAAGCCUGAUGCAGCCAUGCCGCGUGUAUGAAGAAGGCCUUCGGGUUGUAAAGUACUUUCAGCGGGGAGGAAGGGAGUAAAGUUAAUACCUUUGCUCAUUGACGUUACCCGCAGAAGAAGCACCGGCUAACUCCGUGCCAGCAGCCGCGGUAAUACGGAGGGUGCAAGCGUUAAUCGGAAUUACUGGGCGUAAAGCGCACGCAGGCGGUUUGUUAAGUCAGAUGUGAAAUCCCCGGGCUCAACCUGGGAACUGCAUCUGAUACUGGCAAGCUUGAGUCUCGUAGAGGGGGGUAGAAUUC
RNAcentral lists this ribosomal RNA (502 nucleotides) under Escherichia coli. RNAcentral describes it as "bacterial SSU rRNA". It matches the Rfam family "Bacterial small subunit ribosomal RNA", at positions 172 to 669 of the family's 1533-position model. The record is from RNAcentral. Lineage: Bacteria; Pseudomonadati; Pseudomonadota; Gammaproteobacteria; Enterobacterales; Enterobacteriaceae.